AAGAAAAAUGGACUAUUAGGCUGUUCAGAAAAAUAGCAGUGUCUGCAUUUUUCUUUCUGUGAUGCUUAUGACUCCUUCACAGGUGGCCUUUAUUUAAGGACAAAGGCAGCAAAUGUCGUACACUCUGGCUGUAGUGCAUUUCUCUCUGAAAAUCUGAGUGAAAUGGGUCAUUCCAGACAUUGUUCAGAACAGUGUAAUUUGAUCAAAAAGUUGAUUGGAUAGGGGGAAACGUGUAAACUGCAGAAAAUGAUAGGCUCCUCAGCUAAAAUGAUCUCAGAUGGUUUAAAAUGGCAACAAAACCAGAAGGGUAUGGAAGAAAAUGGAAAA
Molecule: long non-coding RNA, 327 nt
Organism: Thalassophryne amazonica
Lineage: Eukaryota; Metazoa; Chordata; Actinopteri; Batrachoidiformes; Batrachoididae
Exons: 3
Source: RefSeq, a predicted model, not a curated record